Molecule: ribosomal RNA, 477 nt
Filed under: uncultured bacterium
Lineage: Bacteria
Description: partial 16S ribosomal RNA
Rfam family: Bacterial small subunit ribosomal RNA
Source: RNAcentral
AUGAACGCUGGCGGCGUGCUUCACCCAUGCAAGUCGCACGGGAAACCUUUUAAUGAAGCUUCGGCAGAUUUAGCUGGUUUCUAGUGGCGGACGGGUGAGUAACGCGUGGGUAACCUGCCUUAUACAGGGGGAUAACAGUCAGAAAUGACUGCUAAUACCGCAUAAGCGCACAGGACCGCAUGGUCCGGUGUGAAAAACUCCGGUGGUAUAAGAUGGACCCGCGUUGGAUUAGCUUGUUGGUGGGGUAACGGCUCACCAAGGCGACGAUCCAUAGCCGGCCUGAGAGGGUGAACGGCCACAUUGGGACUGAGACACGGCCCAGACUCCUACGGGAGGCAGCAGUGGGGAAUAUUGCACAAUGGGGGAAACCCUGAUGCAGCGACGCCGCGUGAAGGAAGAAGUAUCUCGGUAUGUAAACUUCUAUCAGCAGGGAAGAUAGUGACGGUACCUGACUAAGAAGCCCCGGCUAACUACGUG